CGUCGUUGCCCCGCGUUGGAGCUCACCGCCGGUACCAUUGAACUCAACGUGAUUGGAACUUUAAGAUUUGAGCUUCCUAGCCAGUGUUGACCAAAUUCCGAUGACCGUUGACCGACAAGGGCAUUUUGGUAAUUUCACACUAUGAGGGCAAUUUUGUAAUUUUUGAGCCUGUGGAUAUGUUAGUAAUUCCUAGAAUUGAGGAUUGGGUGUAAUUACGAUUCCGAGGGUAAUUCAGUGAUUUACAAUUUCGGAGCAUGUUAAUGAUCUACGGACUCAAGGGCAUUUUUAGUAAUUUUAUGGACAUGGGAGUUGUCAAUUAUGGAUAGAUGUUUGUUUCGAAUUUAUUGCAUAAAAAUUUAGUCCUAAUUCCGAUUUACGAAAAAUAAUUAUGUCGUUUCCUUGAUUUAGGAGGAUCUGCGAGCGAGAACCAGUCCGCGGACGUGGACGAUAACUGACCGUGAACAACGUCACUGUGAGUGGAAUAUACAAAACCUAUUUUCAUAGUUAAUUAUGAUAGUAAAGCAUGUUUGCGAAAUAAGUAUUUUAAAUUUCUGAUUUAAUGAUUUCCUCGAAAUGGAUUUUAUUCACGCAUUGGUAUUUUAUUAAAAUGUUUGGUUAAUGAUUUUGCUUAUCGACUUUGAAUAAGCAUGAUAGUAUUUUAAAGAUAAGAAAAGUGGAUUCAAAUGUGGUAUAAUUUAAAAUAUGGUUAAGAGGUAUGUGAAUAUGAAUAUAUUGAUUAUUUUUGAAAUCAUUAGACAGUACCCUUCCCCUCCAGAUACAGUGAUACAGAUGAGAUGAGAUGAGAUGAGAUGAGAUGAGAGGUCUUUAGGGCCGUUUGAACACACAUAGAGGGUUUGGGUCGUGUUUUUGGGCGUUUCUGCCUUUUAGGGGUAUAUGUAUGUGGUAUGAUGAUUACAAAGAUAUAGACAGAUAUUGAGAUACAAAUGAUACAGAUGAGAUACAAGCCUUUGGGACCCGUCUGAGUACACAGAAAGGCUUUGGGCCGUGUGCUUGGGCGCUUUUGUCCUUUGGGGACUAGAUUGUGCAUGCACAGAUAUGAUGAGACAUGAGAUGGUAUUUCCCUGUCUAUCCGUGUAGCUCCAGGGCGUGACGUUACCCAGAUAGUACGUCAUUGCCUAUCCGUUGAGGUCCGGAUAUGACGAGAUUAUUUCCCUAGGUACUUGUUUGGUGAUGAUUUUCAGAUUUAUGAAUUCUAUAUGAUAUUGUGAUAUGAUUUCCAUGGUUAGUAAUCUGAUUUAAAUGUUUAAUGAUUUAUUACUGGUUUCUCGCUUAUGGUUUAACGAAAUCGUGUUUGGAAAUUAUAUGAUUAUUUCUUUUAAAGUAAGAAUUAAUUUUCAAACUACUAUCCACUCACUGAUCUCACUGAGUUUUAAACUCACCCCGUUUUUAUUAUAUUCCCUCCCCCCCCUCACCAGGAGGUUGCAGGUACACCAGACCGACCCAGCGACUGCAAAUAUAUUUUGAGUCUUGGCCACGUGAUGGUGUUAGAAGAUAUAAAUAUUUUCGUUAGGACAUCUUGGUUAUCUCGUCCUGUUGGGAUUGUAUAAUUUUUUGUUAUAUUAUUCUUUUGGGAUUAAGAAUAAACUGAAAUAUUAAUAUUAGUUAUAAU
RNAcentral lists this long non-coding RNA (1630 nucleotides) under Citrus x clementina. Its description in RNAcentral is "Citrus clementina (C. clementina) long non-coding RNA (CCLE_LNC000482)". Lineage: Eukaryota; Viridiplantae; Streptophyta; Magnoliopsida; Sapindales; Rutaceae. The record is from RNAcentral.